Molecule: ribosomal RNA, 459 nt
Filed under: uncultured bacterium
Lineage: Bacteria
Description: partial 16S ribosomal RNA
Rfam family: Bacterial small subunit ribosomal RNA
Source: RNAcentral
CUACGGGCGGCAGCAGUGAGGAAUAUUGGUCAAUGGGCGAAAGCCUGAACCAGCCAUGCCGCGUGAAGGAUGACGGCCCUAUGGGUUGUAAACUUCUUUUAUACGGGAAGAAACACCUCUACGUGUAGAGGUUUGACGGUACCGUACGAAUAAGCAUCGGCUAACUCCGUGCCAGCAGCCGCGGUAAUACGGAGGAUGCAAGCGUUAUCCGGAUUUAUUGGGUUUAAAGGGUACGUAGGCGGAAACUUAAGUCAGUAGUGAAAUCCCGCAGCUUAACUGUGGAACUGUUAUUGAUACUGGGUUUCUUGAAUAUUGUUGAGGUAGGCGGAAUAAGUAAUGUAGCGGUGAAAUGCUUAGAUAUUACUUAGAACACCGAUUGCGAAGGCAGCUUACUAAGCAAUUAUUGACGCUGAGGUACGAAAGCGUGGGGAGCGAACAGGAUUAGAUACCCGUGUAGUC